Molecule: long non-coding RNA, 872 nt
Organism: Cucurbita moschata (crookneck pumpkin)
Lineage: Eukaryota; Viridiplantae; Streptophyta; Magnoliopsida; Cucurbitales; Cucurbitaceae
Exons: 2
Source: RefSeq, a predicted model, not a curated record
GGACUUGGGUUGUUCUGAAUGGUAUCAGAGCCAGACACCGGGUGAUAUGCCAGUGAGGAAGCUGAGCCUCGAAGGGUGGUGGACAUAGACGGGGUAUCAGCAAGGACGUCGGGCUCCGAAGGGAGUAGAUUAGGAAGGUCUCACAUUGAUCGGAGAAGGGAAGGAGUGCUAGUGAGGAUGCUUGGCCUCAAAGGGGAUGGAUUGUGAGAUCCCACUUCAGUUGAGAAGAGAAUGAAACAUUUUUUAUAAAGAUGUGGAAACCUCUACUUAGCAGACAUGUUUUAAAAACUUUGAGAGGAAUCCCGAGAAAGAAAGGCCAAAGAGGACGAUAUAUGCUAGCGGUGGGCUUGGGCUUGGGCUUGGGCUGUUAUAUUUCCUUUUCUAGCUGGACGUGGCAACACGAGUACAGUAAGCAUUGAACAUUGAACAGUAUGAAAUUGGCCAAGAAUUGAGAACGAAGCUAACUGAGUUCAGGUUUGUCGUUUGCUUUAUUUGAAAUAAAAUGACAUUCAUAACUCAUAAGGGCAUACAUUGUGUAUUCUCUGUUUUACUUGGCAAAGGUUGAAGCAGAUAUCAUAGCAAGAAUCAAAAAGGGUAACUUCAAAGAGAGAAGUUGAAGACAAAGGUUUAAAUAUCAUUGGUCGACGGUAAAGUUUCCCUUAUAUUAUUCCCAACCCAUAUUAAGAUGAUGAUCAAUGGGGCAAUGAUUGAUCGACACACAUCUCUAGAAAUCCAUCGUUCAAUUUCUUCCAAAGUGGUUUGUUCAUCUCGUUUCUUGCACUGCUCCGUCAACUCUCCCCGUGUCUGGGAAGGGUUUCCAUAUUCAUUGAUUUUCAGGUGAUUCAAUGAAACUUGAUUGUUGAAAUUCCAAA